Molecule: ribosomal RNA, 391 nt
Filed under: uncultured bacterium
Lineage: Bacteria
Description: bacterial SSU rRNA
Rfam family: Bacterial small subunit ribosomal RNA
Source: RNAcentral
GACGAACGCUGGCGGCGUGCCUAACACAUGCAAGUCGAACGGGACCAGGGGCAACUCUGGUUCAGUGGCGGACGGGUGCGUAACACGUGGGUGACCUGCCCUCAGCUCUGGGAUAAGCCUGGGAAACCGGGUCUAAUACUGGAUAUGACUCCAUGACGCAUGUUGUGGGGUGGAAAGCCUUGUGCGGCUGAGGAUGGGCCCGCGGCCUAUCAGCUUGUUGGUGGGGUGAUGGCCUACCAAGGCGACGACGGGUAGCCGGCCUGAGAGGGCGACCGGCCACACUGGGACUGAGACACAGCCCAGACUCCUACGGGAGGCAGCAGUGGGGAAUCUUGCGCAAUGGGCGAAAGCCUGACGCAGCGACGCCGCGUGAGGGAUGACGGCCUGGUGU